This 63-nucleotide transfer RNA is filed under the name bovine gut metagenome. It matches the Rfam family "tRNA", at positions 6 to 65 of the family's 71-position model. From Rfam's summary of the family: Transfer RNA (tRNA) molecules are approximately 80 nucleotides in length. Their secondary structure includes four short double-helical elements and three loops (D, anti-codon, and T loops). The record is from RNAcentral.
CCAUGGCUCAGUCGGUAGAGCGACGCAUUCGUAAUGCGUAGGUCGCCGGUUCAAGUCCGGCUG